UACGGGGGGAGCAAGCGUUGUUCGGAUUUACUGGGCGUAAAGGGCGCGUAGGCGGUCGUGACAAGUCACUUGUGAAAUCUCCGGGCUUAACUCGGAACGGUCAAGUGAUACUGUCGGACUAGAGUACAGAAGGGGCAACUGGAAUUCUCGGUGUAGCGGUGAAAUGCGUAGAUAUCGAGAGGAACACCUGCGGCGAAGGCGGGUUGCUGGGCCGACACUGACGCUGACAGCGCGAAAGCUAGGGGAGCGAACGGG
RNAcentral lists this ribosomal RNA (255 nucleotides) under uncultured bacterium. Its description in RNAcentral is "partial 16S ribosomal RNA". It matches the Rfam family "Bacterial small subunit ribosomal RNA", at positions 524 to 776 of the family's 1533-position model. The record is from RNAcentral.